Molecule: long non-coding RNA, 1213 nt
Filed under: Helianthus annuus (common sunflower)
Lineage: Eukaryota; Viridiplantae; Streptophyta; Magnoliopsida; Asterales; Asteraceae
Source: RNAcentral
AUGUGGGUUACGCAUUUGUUUUUACUUAUGUCGUAAUGCCAUCAAUUGAAGCCCUAAUUUGUUGCCGGGGUCUGCUACAGUUGGUGGAUAUUUCGAUUAAGCUGGUUCUGGAAGUGGCGCAAAAGUUGGUGGAGAAUAAGGUUAGAACGCCUUGUGGAUAAUCAAUGGGUUCUCAACAAUUGUCCUCAUAUCACUUUUGACCCUUGCUGUGACGGCCAUGAAGUUAUGUUGUAUGAGUGUUCUGCGUUGAAGUUGCGGAGGUGGUAGCAUCCUGCGUUGUUCUUUGCAAGUCUGAUACCCUUGACUAAAAAGUCUACGAUUCAUCUUCUUCGUCGAUUCAGUAUCAAUCCAUUCGUCACACAGUGAGCUAACUCAGAGGAGCUGAGAAAGUGGAGUUUCUAAAGUCAGAGGGUGUGGAUCAUAUUGUUGAUAUCAGCAAAGAAGGUGUUAUUGAAAGUGUGAAGGCGUUUUUGAAAACAAGAAAGCUCUAAGGGGUUGAUGUUUUAUAUGAUCCAGUUGGAGGCAAGCUUGCAAAAGAAAGCUUAAAGGUGUUGAGUUGGGGAGCACAGAUUUUGGUUAUCGGGUUCACGAGUGGGGUGGUCUCAGUUAUUCCUGUUAAUAUUGCUCUUGUUAAGAAUUGGACGGUUAUUUUUGUAGUUUUGGGCAUCAUUAUUCCACUAUCUGUUUGUAUGGGGCGAUCGGUUUGAAGUGUCUUGCUUUAGAAAACUACCAAAAAUGGCACAUUUUCCCAUUUGUCGCAGGGGACAACGUUUGAACUUCAGAAGCAAAUGGAACCUUGACAAAGAUUGUUGUCUGCAAUUUUUUUAUGGUAGUUCAGUGAUACAGGCAAUUGACGAGUUUAUUUCGUGAGUGCUGCUUCUAAUGAAUUCUUCAAACAUGAGAAGGUGUUGUCAACCAAUGAAACGAUGAUAUGGAGAUAUUGCAGGACAAAAUUAAUGCUUUGUUGGGACUUAUGCAGAGAUCUAAUGAACGAUAACUUAAAAGACACUUGAAAAGCUUAAAAGAUGAAAUGUCCUCACAAAUUUACGCUCCGAGCUUAUGGCUUUAAAGUCUUGAUUUUUUUAGGUUGAUACUAGUUUUGAACUUGCAUGGUAGUUUUUUAUAUUGUUUUACAUGUUAUUUUUUCUUGUAGAACAAAAAGUCAUGAUUUCUCUAUGUUGAUCACCGAAUAUUGUAGCUCCAAAACAUGCUA